Molecule: ribosomal RNA, 497 nt
Filed under: uncultured bacterium
Lineage: Bacteria
Description: partial 16S ribosomal RNA
Rfam family: Bacterial small subunit ribosomal RNA
Source: RNAcentral
GACGAACGCUGGCGGCGUGCCUAAUACAUGCAAGUAGAACGCUGAAGAGAGGAGCUUGCUCUUCUUGGAUGAGUUGCGAACGGGUGAGUAACGCGUAGGUAACCUGCCUUGUAGCGGGGGAUAACUAUUGGAAACGAUAGCUAAUACCGCAUAACAAUGGAUGACCCAUGUCAUUUAUUUGAAAGGGGCAAAUGCUCCACUACAAGAUGGACCUGCGUUGUAUUAGCUAGUAGGUGAGGUAACGGCUCACCUAGGCGACGAUACAUAGCCGACCUGAGAGGGUGAUCGGCCACACUGGGACUGAGACACGGCCCAGACUCCUACGGGAGGCAGCAGUAGGGAAUCUUCGGCAAUGGGGGCAACCCUGACCGAGCAACGCCGCGUGAGUGAAGAAGGUUUUCGGAUCGUAAAGCUCUGUUGUAAGUCAAGAACGAGUGUGAGAGUGGAAAGUUCACACUGUGACGGUAGCUUACCAGAAAGGGGCGGCUAACUACGUG